RNAcentral lists this ribosomal RNA (97 nucleotides) under uncultured bacterium. RNAcentral describes it as "partial 16S ribosomal RNA". It matches the Rfam family "Bacterial small subunit ribosomal RNA", at positions 1386 to 1482 of the family's 1533-position model. The record is from RNAcentral.
CACACCGCCCGUCACACCGUGGGAGUUGGUUUCACCCGAAGGCAGUGCGCUAACCGCAAGGAGGCAGCUGACCACGGUGGGAUCAGCGACUGGGGUG